Molecule: ribosomal RNA, 492 nt
Filed under: uncultured bacterium
Lineage: Bacteria
Description: partial 16S ribosomal RNA
Rfam family: Bacterial small subunit ribosomal RNA
Source: RNAcentral
AGUGAACGCUGGCGGUAGGCCUAACACAUGCAAGUCGAACGGCAGCACAGUAAGAGCUUGCUCUUACGGGUGGCGAGUGGCGGACGGGUGAGGAAUACAUCGGAAUCUACUUUUUCGUGGGGGAUAACGUAGGGAAACUUACGCUAAUACCGCAUACGACCUACGGGUGAAAGCAGGGGAUCUUCGGACCUUGCGCGAUUGGAUGAGCCGAUGUCGGAUUAGCUAGUUGGGGGGGUAAAGGCCCACCAAGGCGGGGAUUCGCAGCUGGUCUGAGAGAAGGGUAGCCGGCCUUGGAGGGGAGACAGGCACCAUGGUCCUACGAGAGGGCCCAGUGGGCAAUGGGGGACAACGGGGGCGAGCCUGGUCCAGCCAGCCGAAGUGGGUGAAAAAGGCCUUGGGGUUGUAAAGCCGUUUUUUGGGUAAUAAAAAGCAGUCGCUUAUUACCCAGCGGUUGUGACGGUACCGAAUAAAGAAGCACCGGCUAACUACGUG